RNAcentral lists this long non-coding RNA (228 nucleotides) under Drosophila melanogaster (fruit fly). RNAcentral's name for it is "long non-coding RNA:CR44404". Lineage: Eukaryota; Metazoa; Arthropoda; Insecta; Diptera; Drosophilidae. The record is from RNAcentral.
CACAAUCUAAAGUUAACUUGCCGUUAAUCAAGAUGCAACUGCUGCCAAUCCUCGUGCUCCUCGCUCUCCUCAUCUGCGCCGCCUGCAAGAACCACGAGGACUGGGGAGGAUACCGACCAAGUGACUACGAUCCCAGGCCAUAUUUCCGGCAGUUCUAAAUGAUCACGAAACUCAACCCACAGGAAAAUCUUUACGAAAAAUCGAUGCAACCAUAGAAAGAAAAUAAAC